UGGCUCAGAACGAACGCUGGCGCCAGGCUUAACACAUGCAAGUCGAACGGGCCCUUCGGGGACAGUGGCGAACGGGUGAGGAACACGUGAGGAACCUGCCCUGGAGACCGGGACAACAUCGGGAAACCGUUGCUAAUACCGGAUGUCCUCAUCGGACCGCAUGAUCCGAUGAGGAAAUGGAUUCCGCUCCAGGAUGGCCUCGCGGCCUAUCAGCUUGUUGGUGGGGUAACGGCCCACCAAGGCUUCGACGGGUAGCUGGUCUGAGAGGAUGUCCAGCCACACUGGGACUGAGACACGGCCCAAACUCCUACGGGAGGCAGCAGUGGG
RNAcentral lists this ribosomal RNA (327 nucleotides) under uncultured bacterium. RNAcentral's name for it is "bacterial SSU rRNA". It matches the Rfam family "Bacterial small subunit ribosomal RNA", at positions 20 to 358 of the family's 1533-position model. The record is from RNAcentral.